This 484-nucleotide ribosomal RNA is filed under the name uncultured bacterium. RNAcentral describes it as "partial 16S ribosomal RNA". It matches the Rfam family "Bacterial small subunit ribosomal RNA", at positions 29 to 507 of the family's 1533-position model. The record is from RNAcentral.
AUUGAACGCUGGCGGCAUGCUUUACACAUGCAAGUCGAACGGCAGCGCGGGCUUCGGCCUGGCGGCGAGUGGCGAACGGGUGAGUAAUGCAUCGGAACGUGCCCAGUAGUGGGGGAUAGCCCGGCGAAAGCCGGAUUAAUACCGCAUACGACCUGAGGGUGAAAGCGGGGGACCGAAAGGCCUCGCGCUAUUGGAGCGGCCGAUGUCGGAUUAGCUAGUUGGUGGGGUAAAGGCUUACCAAGGCGACGAUCCGUAGCUGGUCUGAGAGGACGACCAGCCACACUGGAACUGAGACACGGACCAGACUCCUACGGGAGGCAGCAGUGGGGAAUUUUGGACAAUGGGGGCAACCCUGAUCCAGCCAUGCCGCGUGCGGGAAGAAGGCCUUCGGGUUGUAAACCGCUUUUGUUCGGGAAGAAAUCCUCUGGGCUAAUACCCCGGGGGGAUGACGGUACCGGAAGAAUAAGCACCGGCUAACUACGUG